This 914-nucleotide ribosomal RNA is filed under the name uncultured archaeon. Its description in RNAcentral is "SSU rRNA". It matches the Rfam family "Archaeal small subunit ribosomal RNA", at positions 1 to 921 of the family's 1478-position model. The record is from RNAcentral.
UUUCCGGUUGAUCCCGCCGGACCUGACUGCUAUCGGAUUGAUACUAAGCCAUGCGAGUCUUUGCAGUAAUGCAAGGCAUACGGCUCAGUAACACGUAGUCAACUUACCCUAUGGACGAGGAUAAUCUCGGGAAACUGAGCAUAAUACUCGAUAGAUCAUAAUGCCUGGAAUGGUUUAUGGUUGAAAUGAUUCGUCGCCAUAGGAUGGGACUGCGGCCUAUCAGCUUGUUGGUGAGGUAAUGGCCCACCAAGGCGAUUACAGGUACGGGCUCUGAGAGGAGAAGCCCGGAGAUGGGUACUGAGACAAGGACCCAGGCCCUAUGGGGCGCAGCAGGCGAGAAAACUUUGCAAUGUGCGAAAGCACGACAAGGUUAAUCCGAGUGAUUUCUGCUAAAGAAAUCUUUUGCAAGUCAUAAAACCACUAGUGAAUAAGGGGUGGGCAAGUUCUGGUGUCAGCCGCCGCGGUAAAACCAGCACCUCAAGUGGUCAGGAGGAUUAUUGGGCCUAAAGCAUCCGUAGCCGGCUCUGUAAGUUUUCGGUUAAAUCCAUGUGCUCAACGCAUGGGCUGCCGAAAAUACUGCAUAGCUAGGGAGUGGGAGAGGUAGACGGUACUCGGUAGGAAGGGGUAAAAUCCUUUGAUCUAUCGAUGACCACCUGUGGCGAAGGCGGUCUACCAGAACACGUUCGACGGUGAGGGAUGAAAGCUGGGGGAGCAAACCGGAUUAGAUACCCGGGUAGUCCCAGCUGUAAACGAUGCAGACUCGAUGAUGCAUUGGCAUAUAGCCAGUGCAGUGUCGCAGGGAAGCCGUUAAGUCUGCCGCCUGGGAAGUACGUACGCAAGUAUGAAACUUAAAGGAAUUGGCGGGGGAGCACCACAAGGGGUGAAGCCUGCGGUUCAAUUGGAGUCAACGCCGG